GCGCGAAACCUCCGCAAUGCGAGCAAUCGCGACGGGGGGACCCCAAGUGCCACUCUUAACGGGGUGGCUUUUCAUAAGUGUAAAAAGCUUUUGGAAUAAGAGCUGGGCAAGACCGGUGCCAGCCGCCGCGGUAACACUGGCAGCUCAAGUGGUGGCCGUUUUAUUGGGCCUAAAGCGUUCGUAGCCGGUUUGAUAAGUCUCUGGUGAAAUCCUACAGCUUAACUGUGGGAAUUGCUGGAGAUACUAUCAGACUUGAGGUCGGGAGAGGUUAGAGGAACUCCCAGGGUAGGGUGAAAUCCUAUAAUCCUGGGAGGACCACCUGUGGCGAAGGCGUCUAACUGGAACGAACCUGACGGUGAGUAACGAAAGCCAGGGGCGCGAACCGGAUUAAAGCCCCAG
RNAcentral lists this ribosomal RNA (399 nucleotides) under uncultured bacterium. Its description in RNAcentral is "bacterial SSU rRNA". It matches the Rfam family "Archaeal small subunit ribosomal RNA", at positions 339 to 740 of the family's 1478-position model. The record is from RNAcentral.